UACGGAGGGUGCGAGCGUUAAUCGGAAUUACUGGGCGUAAAGCGCGCGUAGGCGGUUUGUUAAGUCAGCUGUGAAAGCCCCGGGCUCAACCUGGGAACUGCAGUUGAUACUGGCCGACUAGAGUACGAGAGAGGGAGGUAGAAUUCCAUGUGUAGCGGUGAAAUGCGUAGAUAUAUGGAGGAAUACCGGUGGCGAAGGCGGCCUCCUGGCUCGAUACUGACGCUGAGGUGCGAAAGCGUGGGGAUCAAACAGGAUUAGAUACCCUGGUAGUCCACGCCGUAAACGAUGUCUACUAGCCGUUGGGAGACUUGAUUUCUUAGUGGCGCAGCUAACGCAAUAAGUAGACCGCCUGGGGAGUACGGCCGCAAGGUUA
This 373-nucleotide ribosomal RNA is filed under the name uncultured bacterium. RNAcentral describes it as "partial 16S ribosomal RNA". It matches the Rfam family "Bacterial small subunit ribosomal RNA", at positions 524 to 896 of the family's 1533-position model. The record is from RNAcentral. RNAcentral also lists the same sequence under 1 other name.